AGCCCCCUUCACCUGGGAGAAGCACCACUGGAAGUCGUUACCACCUCCUCCUCCGCCACCUCCUGCCACCCCUGCGGAGACAGAGCGCGUUUGGCUGGUCGGUGCAGCUCAUGUUGGAUAAACUGAAAUUAAGGCCAAAUUCAGAGGUGAUGGAGACACCAAGUUGGUAUCAGGCACAGAGAGGAAUCCCCUUGAGUGGAGGCACAAGGCAUCUCAAUAAAGAACCCAGGACCCAGCUCAUGGAAGGAAAGGGGAGAAGCCACUCUGAUUAGCAAGCACCAGGGAGGGACAACAUAACUAUCUACUAUAUAAGACAGCUGCAGCAAAAUACCCGUUUGUAGAGACUGGUAAUGUUCCUCCCCGAUGUGUUCUUCAACCUCUGAACUAGCUCAAGUUCUUUCUGGGAAAGGGUGCAUAUAAAAACCUGAUACCCCUGUAUCUUUUUCUCUUUGUUCCUUCCAAUGACCUGCUCCAACACAGCUUUGCAACAUCAGAAUGUGAUGAUUUUUUGAAGGCACUGUAUAGUAGGAAGAAAUCCUUUGUCUCUUGAAACAUUACAUCUGUUGGAUUGCUUCUGAAUUUUCUAAUACUGAUGAUUUUCCAAAGUUUUUAUUCAAUAAUUUGAACGCUGGCUUGUCAAGGUUCCUCCCCCACUCUGAACUCUAGGGUACAGAUGUGGGGACCUGCAUGAAAAACCUCCUAAGCUUAUCUUUACCAGCUUAGAUCAAAACUUCCCCAAGGUACAAAAUAUUCCACCCGUCGUCCUUGGAUUGGCCGCUACCACCACCAAACUAAUACUGGUUACUGGGGAAGAGCUGUUUGGACGCGUCUUUCCCCCCAAAAUACUUCCCAAAACCUUGCACCCCACUUCCUGGACAAGGUUUGGUAAAAAGCCUCACCAAUUUGCCUAGGUGACUACAGACCCAGACCCUUGGAUCUUAAGAACAAUGAACAAUCCUCCCAACACUUGCACUCCCCCCUUUCCUGGGAAAUGUUGGAUAAAAAGCCUCACCAAUUUGCAUAGGUGACCACAGACCCAAACCCUUGGAUCUGAGAACAAUGAAAAAGCAUUCAGUUUUCUUACAAGAAGACUUUUAAUAAAAAUAGAAAUAAAUAGAAAUAAAGAAAUCCCCCCUGUAAAAUCAGGAUGGUAGAUAUAGAUUCAUAGAUAUUUAGGCCAGAAGGGACCAUUAUGAUCAUCUAGUCUGACCUCCUGCACAAUGCAGGCCACAGAAUUUCACCCACCACUCCUAAAAAAAAUUACAGGGUAAUUAGAUUCAAAAACAUAGAGAACCCCUCUAGGCAAAACCUUAAGUUACAAAAAAGAUACACAGACAGAAAUAGUUAUUCUAUUCAGCACAAUUCUUUUCUCAGCCAUUUAAAGAAAUCAUAAUCUAACACAUACCUAGCUAGAUUACUUACUAAAGUUCUAAGACUCCAUUCCUGGUCUAUCCCCUGCAGAAACCAGCAUACAGACAGACCCACAGACCCUUUGUUUCUCUCCCUCCUCCCAGCUUUUGAAAGUAUCUUGUCUCCUCAUUGGUCAUUUUGGUCAGGUGCCAGCGAGGUUACCUUUAGCUUCUUAACCCUUUACAGGUGAGAGGAGCUUUCCCCUGGCCAGGAGGGAUUUCAAAGGGGUUUACCCUUCAAAGUUUUUAUUCAAUAAUUUGAACGCUGGCUAUUGUUGCUUUUUUUUGUAUUGUAGAAAGGAGUUACUGAUAUUUUUAUUCACUACUUUAAUCUUAAAUUAGUGAUGUUGAUGUUCUUCUGUUGUGCCAUUUCUUGAUGACUGUAGCCUCAAUGAAUGGUGAUUACUGUUUGUAUAAAGUAGUGCCUAAAACCUGACAGGGUACAUCUUCCAUGCUGUACAUUGCCAUUUAUCAUUGUACUUUAUUUUGUAUUUUUUUCCAGUUUUCAGUGUACAUGACAGUGUUCCUAUCCAAGCCAAUUUGAAUGGUUUUCAAUCAAGGUUUAGCGAGACGCAGUAUAAAUAACUUAUUUUGAUUUUACUAAAGUAUUUCUUCAUCUUCUUGUG
Caretta caretta (loggerhead turtle) is the source of this 2035-nucleotide non-coding RNA. The record is from RefSeq and is a predicted model, not a curated record. Lineage: Eukaryota; Metazoa; Chordata; Testudines; Cheloniidae.